Molecule: ribosomal RNA, 397 nt
Filed under: uncultured bacterium
Lineage: Bacteria
Description: partial 16S ribosomal RNA
Rfam family: Bacterial small subunit ribosomal RNA
Source: RNAcentral
AUACGUAGGGAGCGAGCGUUGUCCGGAUUUACUGGGCGUAAAGGGCGCGUAGGCGGGGAAAUAAGUCAGAUGUGAAAACUAUGGGCUCAACCCAUAGCCUGCAUUUGAAACUGUAUAUCUUGAGGGCAGGAGAGGAAAGUGGAAUUCCUAGUGUAGCGGUGAAAUGCGUAGGUAUUAGGAGGAACACCAGUGGCGAAGGCGACUUUCUGGACUGAACCUGACGCUGAAGCGCGAAAGCAUGGGGAGCAAACAGGAUUAGAUACCCUGGUAGUCCAUGCCGUAAACGAUGAAUACUAGGUGUAGGGGGUAUCGACCCCCUCUGUGCCGCAGUUAACACAAUAAGUAUUCCGCCUGGGGAGUACGGCCGCAAGGUUGAAACUCAAAUGAAUUGACGGGG